This 445-nucleotide ribosomal RNA is filed under the name uncultured bacterium. Its description in RNAcentral is "partial 16S ribosomal RNA". It matches the Rfam family "Bacterial small subunit ribosomal RNA", at positions 354 to 796 of the family's 1533-position model. The record is from RNAcentral.
GUAGGGAAUAUUGGGCAAUGGAAGGAAUUCUGACCCAGCCAUGCCGCGUGCAGGAAUACAGUCCUAUGGACUUUAAACUGCUUUUAUUAUAGAGUAACCUGGGGGACGUGUCCCCCACUGCAAGUAUAUAAUGAAUAAGCAUCGGCUAACUCCGUGCCAGCAGCCGCGGUAAUACGGGGGAUGCAAGCGUUAUCCGGAUUUAUUGGGUUUAAAGGGUGCGCAGGCUGAUCGGUAAGUCAUGGGUGAAAAGUCACUGCUUAACAGUGAUCGUGCCUAUGAUACUGCCGGACUAGAGUUUAAGAGGUGUAACUGGAAUGUGAUGUGUAGCGGUGAAAUGCUUAGAUAUGUCACAGAACGCCAAUCGUGAAGACAGGUUACAAACUUAAUACUGACGCUCAUGCACGAAAGCGUGGGGAUCAAACAGGAUUAGAUAUCCCGGUAGUCC